AGCUCCAAUAGCGUAUAUUAAAGUUGUUGCAGUUAAAAAGCUCGUAGUUGGAUUUCUGGUGGGAGGGAUCGGUCCUGCAUUCUUUGUAGGAACUUGUAUCCUCUCCGGCCAUCCUUGGGUGGAUCUUGUUUGGCAUUAAGUUGUCAGGCAGGGGAUGCCCAUCGUUUACUGUGAAAAAAUUAGAGUGUUCAAAGCAGGCUUAUGCCAUUGAAUAUAUUAGCAUGGAAUAAUAAGAUAGGGCCCGGGUACUAUUUUGUUGGUUUGCGUACCGAGGUAAUGAUUAAUAGGGACAGUUGGGGGUAUUUGUAUUCAGUAUUCAGUGGUGAAAUACUUAGACCUACGGAAGACAAACUACUGCGAAAGCAUUUACCAAGGAUGUUUUCA
This 384-nucleotide ribosomal RNA is filed under the name uncultured marine Chaetocerotaceae. Its description in RNAcentral is "SSU rRNA". It matches the Rfam family "Eukaryotic small subunit ribosomal RNA", at positions 587 to 972 of the family's 1831-position model. Lineage: Eukaryota; Bacillariophyta; Thalassiosirophyceae; Chaetocerotales; Chaetocerotaceae. The record is from RNAcentral.